UACGUAGGGCGCAAGCGUUGUCCGGAAUUAUUGGGCGUAAAGAGCUCGUAGGCGGUUUGUCGCGUCUGCUGUGAAAACCUCAGGCUCAACCUGGGGCUUGCAGUGGGUACGGGCAGACUAGAGUGCGGUAGGGGUGACUGGAAUUCCUGGUGUAGCGGUGGAAUGCGCAGAUAUCAGGAGGAACACCGGUGGCGAAGGCGGGUCUCUGGGCCGAUAUUGACGCUGAGGAGCGAAAGCGUGGGGAGCGAACAGG
RNAcentral lists this ribosomal RNA (253 nucleotides) under uncultured bacterium. Its description in RNAcentral is "partial 16S ribosomal RNA". It matches the Rfam family "Bacterial small subunit ribosomal RNA", at positions 524 to 776 of the family's 1533-position model. The record is from RNAcentral.